GACGAACGCUGGCGGCGUGCCUAAUACAUGCAAGUUGAGCGCUGAAGGUUGGUACUUGUACCAACUGGAUGAGCAGCGAACGGGUGAGUAACGCGUGGGGAAUCUGCCUUUGAGCGGGGGACAACAUUUGGAAACGAAUGCUAAUACCGCAUAAAAACUUUAAACACAAGUUUUAAGUUUGAAAGAUGCAAUUGCAUCACUCAAAGAUGGUCCCGCGUUGUAUUAGCUAGUUGGUGAGGUAAAGGCUCACCAAGGCGAUGAUACAUAGCCGACCUGAGAGGGUGAGCGGCCACAUUGGGACUGAGACACGGCCCAAACUCCUACGGGAGGCAGCAGUAGGGAAUCUUCGGCAAUGGACGAAAGUCUGACCGAGCAACGCCGCGUGAGUGAAGAAGGUUUUCGGAUCGUAAAACUCUGUUGGUAGAGAAGAACGUUGGUGAGAGUGGAAAGCUCAUCAAGUGACGGUAACUACCCAGAAAGGGACGGCUAACUACGUG
Molecule: ribosomal RNA, 497 nt
Filed under: uncultured bacterium
Lineage: Bacteria
Description: partial 16S ribosomal RNA
Rfam family: Bacterial small subunit ribosomal RNA
Source: RNAcentral